CAUAUAUUAAGAAAACUCAUUAAAUAUCCAUUGUUUUUUGUGAAUAACAAUUUUUCAUAAUUUUUAGCCAAUAUAAAUUCAAUAAACACCAUUAAUUUUUUUUUAAACUUACAAUUUUUCAUAAAAUCAUACAUUGAAAAAGUAAAAAAUGUAUCUUUUUGAAACAAUUUUUUUUCAGAUCAUACAUCUUUUAGGAACGGAUGGAGUAUUGUUUACGAGAAACGAUUUUAUUCCACAUAAAUGUAGAUGAAUUUAGCGAGAUACAUAUUUAACUUUUUAUUUUUAAUUUAUUUUCACUCACUUACUUUCAAUUCAGCUAUAUUCUACCAGUCUCAUCCUAUAAUAAGAAAUAUUUAGUUUUUCGGAAAAAAAUGCAAAACAAUAUCUAAAGAGAAUAAAGUCAUACUUUGGGACAGAAAAAGUUUCGGUGAUCAAUGCAAAAUAACAUGAAUAGCAGGGUAGUUUGUGAGUUGUGGUGUUAAGUAUUAUACUUUUUCAAAUUUUUGAAAUUAAAUCACACUGAAAUAAUAUAGUUUUGAUAUUAAAAUGAUUUUAUGGGCUGGAGUUGCCCUAAACAAGUGAUUGUUGAAAUUGUUUUCCACAAAUUUAAUUAAGAGUUAAAAAAAAUAUUUAAUUAAGCGUUUAUGUAUUAUUGAUAUGUAAAAUAUGAAAAGAAAUAAAGGUCUCAAUAAUACCCAGUUAUCCUUCUUAAAGGUACGCUGUGUACCUCUGGAAAGUGCGUCAACGACGCUGGUGAUGAACAUAUUAAGGUUAGCUUAACUUGAAUUAUUCGAGAAAAGGAGCUCACAAUCAUACGUUUUUGUGUUGUUUAAUGAGUUAGGUUAUGGCAAAAUACAUAUUUAAAGAUUGACUUUUUGAAAAAAUCUAUUUGGAUUGAUAUUAUCUAUUCUAUUAAAAAGGAAUCAGUUUUGAUAAAUCUACUUAUAAAGGUUGUUUGGACCCUUUUCUUUUAUUAUGUUUUGGUCUAAUCCUAUUUAUUAUAACAAACCUUAUCGACCGAAAGGACAUCAACAUUUAUUAUAACAGCAUGUGAGUUUAUUUAUCGGACAUGUAAAGAAUAUUUUUAGAAUAUGCCAUCGUAUGGUCCUGGACAAAUCGUUAUAUUUAAUUAAAUGAGAUUAUUAUCUUACCGAAAAACGCCAUCGUAUAUCUUAUAUAAGCAAUAAUAUAGCUUUAUAAUAACUACAGAUUAAAUCCCUUUCAUAUAUUUGCUUUUAUAUUUUUAUAUUUUGAUAGUUAAUAUAUAUAGAUAUAUAUAUAUAUAUAUAUAUAUAUAUAUAUAUAUAUAUAGUUGUGUGAAACAAUCUUUCCAAUACCAACAGAUAUAUUUACACUUCAUAAUUCCUACACUAUUAAACAAACAAACAUCAUUUUUAAAAACAUUUCAACAAAAUUUCAAAAACGCAGAUGCUUGAUCACAUCAAUAUAAAUCAUGAUGACUCUAAUCUUAAAAAAAUUAUAUGAAGACAAAAUAAAAAUUAAUUUAAACUUUUAUUUUUGCCAGAAAAAAAUCCGCGCUUUCUAAGGGCGGAUCAAAAUCUAGUUAUUAUAUAAAAAUAUAUACGGCUUGCAGAUACUUAAAACGGACUAUCAAUAUAUAGUCUAUGCAAGUGUGUCGAUCGUAUAUAGGCAAAAUAUUAAUAUUGAUAUAUUCUUAGUCACAGUUUUCUUUCAAAAAAAAAUCAAUAAUCAUAUCAGGCCACAUAGUUAUCAAGUUAAAAAAAGUUUCUGCGAUUGUAGAUCAUGUCAUCUCUCUGAGAACUCCUACACUUGGAUGCUAACGCAUUUCGAUCCUACUCAAGGCCCGGAAGACGUAGAAUUUCGUACUGACUAAAUGACUAGUGAGUAGUAAAUGUUGACAAAAAAAUAAAAUGACUAGUGAGUAGUGACUCAUUCAUGUAAGCUACAGAUACGAGCGUCAAACGUUAAAUAUAUGAUUUUGUAUUGGUGUGUUAUCAAAAUAUGGACGUUAUUACCUUAUAUUUAUCUAAUCAAAUGUUAAGAUAAAAACUUAUACUAAUCUUUUAUCGGAAUGUGAAAUAUAUAUAGGUUAGAGAAGAGACAUAAUUUUUACAUUUUUGUUUUGGUCAAGAGACAAGUUAUUUUAAAUUGCAAAUAUUUUAAGUGAAGUGGAGGUGGGGUGGGCGGUGAGCUAGCAAGUGAUUGUCACACUUUGUCAUGUAGCGAAGACAAAUCUCAAUAAAUAUUACCAUGUUCAGUUAAUAAGCUACUACUAAUUAAAUGUAAUUAGGGAACCCUCAAAUUAUGGCCGAGUCACGAAUUCCUUUCCACACUUCCUCACGACCCUAUUGCCGGCCAAUUAUAUAUGUACGUCAAGCCCUUUUUGGUUUGUUAAAUACAACCAUGUUGGGUUUGCAAAUGCAUUGCAUAAUAAAAUUAGAUUGGCUAAUCUCACUAUUAAUUAAAUUUAUUAGGUUAAACAACGUUUAAAAACCGUGCUUGUCGCGAAACCGUUGUCCGCAAUCAAGUUUUCUUAUGAUAAAAAUAUCUGAGAACCAGUUCACUGCUAUGACUAUUAAAGAUGUAGACAUGGGUCGUAAUGGUUCAUAUAAAUAAUUGUAAACUUUAUAUACAUGAUUUUUUAUGUCAUUGUUUAAUUUGUGGAAAAACUUCGACAAACUACACAUAUUCCCAUGAGAUAGUAAUGUUAUAAGUUUUGUUAUUCCCUUAUAUUCGGUGUCAUGAAUGCAGAGUUUGAACCGUAACGUUCGGUUCCAUAUAAAAUACUUUAUAUACUUCAUGAGAGAAUUCAUCAAUCUUAUAGAUUGUAUGAAUAUUGAAUUCAUUAUAUACCAUUUGCUAGGAUGUUGUUUCAUUAGAAAUGUUGAAUACAACUACAUUAUUUGUAAUAUGUAUAAUUAUCCAUGUGGAAAUAAAAAUAUUUAUCCAUAAAGAAUAUUAAUACUAGGAAGACAAAAAAAAAUUCGUUGGAUAUAGUGUUUCUUAGAUUUCCAUAGUACGGCAACAGUAAGAAUGAUCUACAUGUUACAAAAGGUUUUGAGAAACCAAGUAGAAUGUAAGAUUCAUUCUGAAAAAACAUAAAAUGACAAAAAGAAAUACGAAAGGUAUACUUUAUAACCAUUCUAAUUUUUUUUGGGAGCAAAUAUAACCAUUCUAAUUAAGUUUUUUUUCUCAAAGGAGAGCAGAAGAAAGAACUAAAGUGAAUGUACAGUGUAUAUAGUUCAUUUGCCUGACCCCGUAUUUUAAGGGACAACAGGCAGCUAAAUUUAAAUAUAAGUUUGGCUACAUUAGUCGGGGAAAAAAAUCAAAAACUUUUUGGAGCUAGAAAACUCAUAGCACAGGGAUGAUAGACUAAAAAGCUUUUCAGUUUUACCAGGAAACCUGGAACCAUUGGUCUGUAAUCGUUGUUUUGGAACAGGCAUGAAAUUGACCUUUUACUAUCACUAGUAUUUUGUAAUUACAUAUCAACAAAUGAAAGUUGUUUAUUUAUUGCCGAAAUUUAAAUUCAAUAAUCAACUCCGUUUGUGUAACUUGUCAACACAAAUCCAAAUAAAGGUUUGACUCUGACUUGAGAAAAGGCAGAGAGUAACAUAUGAGUAAGUGGAUGUUGACUGUUAUGUCUAUUCUCAUUGUAUUUCUUCAAAUAAAUGGAGGGACGAAAGAAAAAUAACCUAAGCAGACAAAUAAGCAAAUAAUAGAUUAAAACAUCACAAGAAUUGAGGAAAUAAACAACUGAUAUACAAUUCGAAACUUAUAUUCAACUAGUUUUCACGUAUGUCAUUUAAACAUUCGGAUUCGCCAUUCAUAUCGCAUGCUGCGUUGGUCAGCAUAUAAAGUUCCAUGUUCGUUCAAAACAAGUAGCAUUCAGUCUAGUAGUCUUCUGUAAGAUGUAAGAUUACUUAAGUGAGAUUAUGUUGUCUAAUUAACUUUCACCACUGUCCAAAAAAGCUGACAUUUUAACAGUGGAGUAAACAAAGAACAUGUUGAUCCAACGAUUUUGUGGGGACGUGGGGAUUUAUAUAAAAUUGACAUAUACAUACAUACAUUUGAGAUUUAUUUAUUUUGUUUUUGCAUUCUAAGUUUAUAAUUUCGCAACUUGGAAAGAAGAAGAGCCCUAUUGCAGUAUUUGAGCAAAAGACACGUCGUUUUCUGGAAUUAGACAAAUCAUAUUCACGUUGUAACUUGCCUUAUCUGUCCCCUUCCUAUUGUAAUCUCUGCCACCUACCUGUUCCUCCUCCAAAACACAAUCACGACAAAACAAUGUUUCAAUUUUGGCUGACUCAGAAAAAUGCUAUUUCAGCAAAGUAGCAAGUAUCGAGAUACAAAUAAUUACUUUGUUAUUGGAUUUAGAAAUAAAAUAAAAAUAAUUAGUCUAAAACCCAUUCUAGUGACCAUAUUAGCCUGGUUUGUUCAGUCAUUGCAAUCUCCCAUUGUGAAUUGUGAUAUUCUAAUGCGAUUGCAAAUCAUAAUAACUUGUUAUUCACAGCUAAAAAAAUUAACGAAUAUAUUUUAAAUUUCUACGAUUCCAUGACUAAAUUGGAAGAUACUAACUCGGAGGUUUUCUUUCAUUCAUUCCUUAGAACUGGUCUUUGGUUCUCAAAACCGGGUUUGAGGCAAUUUCAUUCAGUUGUUCGGGUUGUUCUGCAUCUCUUGGUGUUCUCGGUUGCAGAGCUUCUUAGGCAACUGUCCUACCGGCUACCGCUAUCCCAGACCGUCUUUGGUUCAUUGCUGGUGGAGGUGUUGCCGCGUUGGAGGCGAGUGUAUAGUUGGAUUCUUCGCAUGCACUUCGAUUUGUGUCUCUCAACCUUUCUCUCCUCUAUUUCAUCUUGCCUUCAAUAAUGCUAAUGGUUACAAACUUAAACGAGCUCAUCAAGAACUAGAUACUCUAGAGAUGUCACGGGAAAAUUUUGGCAUCGAGUAAACGAGGUGAAUUUCUCAUUUUCGUGGCUACUGUCAAAGGAUUGUAGUUGAUACUCAAGGAUACUAAAUUCGGUCUAAUGGUACGCACUGAGCAUAUGAGUCGAGCAAAGUUAGAUAGGAAAUAGUUGGAAAUGUGCAAUUUUGUGUAAGUCUGUUUGUAAUCAGAUCUUUAUCCAUGUUUUCAGGUUCAAUGAAUCUACAUUAUUUUAUUUU
Molecule: long non-coding RNA, 5136 nt
Organism: Brassica rapa (field mustard)
Lineage: Eukaryota; Viridiplantae; Streptophyta; Magnoliopsida; Brassicales; Brassicaceae
Source: RefSeq, a predicted model, not a curated record